UACGUAGGUGGCAAGCGUUAUCCGGAUUUAUUGGGCGUAAAGAGAACGCAGGCGGUCUUUUAAGUCUGAUGUGAAAGCCUUCGGCUUAACCGGAGUAGUGCAUUGGAAACUGGGAGAAUUGAGUGCAGAAGAGGAGAGUGGAACUCCAUGUGUAGCGGUGAAAUGCGUAGAUAUAUGGAAGAACACCAGUGGCGAAAGCGGCUCUCUGGUCUGUAACUGACGCUGAGGUUCGAAAGCGUGGGUAGCAAACAGG
RNAcentral lists this ribosomal RNA (253 nucleotides) under uncultured bacterium. RNAcentral describes it as "partial 16S ribosomal RNA". It matches the Rfam family "Bacterial small subunit ribosomal RNA", at positions 524 to 776 of the family's 1533-position model. The record is from RNAcentral.